This 89-nucleotide transfer RNA is filed under the name Paenibacillus curdlanolyticus. RNAcentral's name for it is "tRNA-Ser". It matches the Rfam family "tRNA". From Rfam's summary of the family: Transfer RNA (tRNA) molecules are approximately 80 nucleotides in length. Their secondary structure includes four short double-helical elements and three loops (D, anti-codon, and T loops). The record is from RNAcentral. Lineage: Bacteria; Bacillati; Bacillota; Bacilli; Caryophanales; Paenibacillaceae.
GGAGAGGUACCGAAGUGGUCAUAACGGGGCGGUCUUGAAAACCGUUAGAGUGCAAGCUCACAUGGGUUCGAAUCCCAUCCUCUCCGCCA